AUUGAACGCUGGCGGCAGGCCUAACACAUGCAAGUCGAACGAGUGGCGGACGGGUGAGUAAUGUCUGGGAAACUGCCCGAUGGAGGGGGAUAACUACUGGAAACGGUAGCUAAUACCCCAUACCAUCUGAUGUGCCCAGAUGGGAUUAGCUAGUAGGUGGGGUAACGGCUCACCUAGGCGACGCUCCCUAGCUGGUCUGCGAGGAUGACCAGCAACAUGGGAACUGGGACACGGGCCAGACGCCAAUGGGAGGAAGAGGUGGGGAAAAUGGAACAAUGGGGGCAAGCCUGAUGCGUCCAGGCCGCGGGGAUGAAAAAGGCCUGCGAGUUGUAAAGUACUUUCAGCGAGGAGGCGGUACUCACAGAAGAAGCACCGGCUAACUCCGUGCCAGCAGCCGCGGUAAUUC
Molecule: ribosomal RNA, 406 nt
Filed under: uncultured bacterium
Lineage: Bacteria
Description: partial 16S ribosomal RNA
Rfam family: Bacterial small subunit ribosomal RNA
Source: RNAcentral